UACGUAGGGUGCAAGCGUUGUCCGGAAUUAUUGGGCGUAAAGAGCUCGUAGGCGGUCUGUCACGUCUGCUGUGAAAACUCGGGGCUUAACCCCGGGCCUGCAGUGGGUACGGGCAGACUAGAGUGCGGUAGGGGAGACUGGAAUUCCUGGUGUAGCGGUGAAAUGCGCAGAUAUCAGGAGGAACACCGGUGGCGAAGGCGGCUCUCUGGGACGGUACUGACGCUGAGACGCGAAAGCGUGGGGAGCGAACAGG
Molecule: ribosomal RNA, 253 nt
Filed under: uncultured bacterium
Lineage: Bacteria
Description: partial 16S ribosomal RNA
Rfam family: Bacterial small subunit ribosomal RNA
Source: RNAcentral